GGUAGCUUAAAGAAGCAGCAUAGGUUUUAGGUGAUCCCUCAGCUUAACACAAGGGGAAAAUACUUUAUAGGCUGGUUUGCAAACUAUCAUUUGCUGUUUAGUCAAGGCUGCCAAGAAAACUGUUGGAAUUCUUAGUAAUUAGCUCAGCAGCUUGGCUUGAAUUCAAAAUACCAGCUCUGAAGGGAUCCCCAUAUCAGCUCCAGCGCCAAAAGCACCUCACUUUAGGGACACACUGAGUAUCUUAGAGAUUGUUUUCCUCUGUUCUCCCAGACCUAUGACAUGGAGCACACUUUCUACAGCAAUGGAGAGAAGAAGAAGAUUUACAUGGAAAUUGAUCCUGUGACCAGAACUGAAAUAUUCAGAAGCGGAAAUGGCACUGAUGAAACAUUGGAAGUACACGACUUUAAAAACGGAUACACUGGCAUCUACUUCGUGGGUCUUCAAAAAUGUUUUAUCAAAACUCAGAUUAAAGUGAUUCCUGAAUUUUCUGAACCAGAAGAGGAAAUAGAUGAGAAUGAAGAAAUUACCACAACUUUCUUUG
Molecule: small RNA, 541 nt
Filed under: Pan troglodytes (chimpanzee)
Lineage: Eukaryota; Metazoa; Chordata; Mammalia; Primates; Hominidae
Description: processed transcript
Source: RNAcentral